GCAGCAAUGGCCGAGUGGUUAAGGUGUUGGACUUGAAAUCCAAUGGGGUUUCCCCGCGCAGGUUCGAUCCCUGCUUGCUGCG
This 82-nucleotide transfer RNA is filed under the name Alligator mississippiensis (American alligator). RNAcentral describes it as "tRNA-Ser (TGA) (tRNA-Ser-TGA-4-1)". It matches the Rfam family "tRNA". From Rfam's summary of the family: Transfer RNA (tRNA) molecules are approximately 80 nucleotides in length. Their secondary structure includes four short double-helical elements and three loops (D, anti-codon, and T loops). Lineage: Eukaryota; Metazoa; Chordata; Crocodylia; Alligatoridae. RNAcentral also lists the same sequence under 1 other name. The record is from Rfam by way of RNAcentral.